Long non-coding RNA from Mus musculus (house mouse), 674 nucleotides. RefSeq annotates it as predicted gene, 21286. NCBI's taxonomy places the organism in Eukaryota, Metazoa, Chordata, Mammalia, Rodentia, Muridae. The transcript has 3 exons. The record is from RefSeq and is a predicted model, not a curated record.
GUCUUCCCAGCUUGGUCCUCCCUCUUUCUCAUGUCCUUAAGAUUGAUGCUCACCUCAAUCAUCCCUCAAGCAUAGUGAUGGAAGCACUCUGAAAUCUCUCAGUGGGACAGAAGGAUAUUCUAUGGAUGCCAAAUACAGGAUAGAUCAUACCAAUGCCUGUCAAUCAUGUUGCCAACCAUUUCCACAUCCUUACGGAAAGUCCCUGUCCCCUCACUCAGGCUGUGGUCAAUGCACAAAAUACAGCUGCUACACUCACUAUUGCUCUUCUCACAGACCUAGAACCGGAUUUGAGGUCAGACAUCAAGGAAGAGUUUGCAAAACUAUUUGAGGAGCAUGGAAUCGUUAGAGAAAAUAGCAUUGACCUAUCUAAUGCCAAUCACUGUCUCCAGGCCCUAGAAUGAAGAUUGGCCUGAGCCUCCAGUGUUGAGUGGAGACUUCUUACCAGGACUCCAGCAUCAUCCCUUCCUAUCCAUACAGCAUCCCGUGACAAGUUCUGUGAUCUGCUUUCAAUCAUGUCUCACAGAGAAUUGCAGUCCUUGUCUCUCCAGCAUGCUCCUAGGAUAACUCAUCAAGAAUCAAAGUCUUUCUUUAAAUUUCUCUUUGAUACACCCAUGACAAUUAUCCUUGAAUUUCUUCUUCUUCCUGAUCAAAAAAUGAUUACACUUGCGUUUAAA